GAGUUUGAUCCUGGCUCAGAUUGAACGCUGGCGGCAUGCCUUACACAUGCAAGUCGAACGGCAGCACGGGAGCAAUCCUGGUGGCGAGUGGCGAACGGGUGAGUAAUAUAUCGGAACGUGCCCAAUCGUGGGGGAUAACGCAGCGAAAGCUGUGCUAAUACCGCAUACGAUCUACGGAUGAAAGCGGGGGACUCGCAAGAGCCUCGCGCGAAUGGAGCGGCCGAUAUCAGAUUAGCUAGNNGGCGGGGUAAAGGCCCACCAAGGCGACGAUCUGUAGCUGGUCUGAGAGGACGACCAGCCACACUGGAACUGAGACAC
Molecule: ribosomal RNA, 318 nt
Filed under: uncultured beta proteobacterium 182ev
Lineage: Bacteria; Pseudomonadati; Pseudomonadota; Betaproteobacteria
Description: bacterial SSU rRNA
Rfam family: Bacterial small subunit ribosomal RNA
Source: RNAcentral